UGUAAGCGUAUACCAAAGUUGUUGCAGUUAAAACGCUCGUAGUCGGAAUUUGGCAGUUCCGGAUGUGUGCACGUCGUGUGCGCACUUCGCGGGGAUUGCUUUUGUGGUCUUGCGUAGGAUGAGGCACUUUUAUUAGUGAACGUCCUCACGCAACCACUUUUUACUGUGAGAAAAUCAGAGUGCUCAAAGCAGGCAUUUGCCGUGAAUAUAUUAGCAUGGAAUAAUAGGAUAGGACUUGGUUCUAUUUUGUUGGUUUGUUGGGACUGAGUAAUGAUUAAGAGGGACAGUUGGGGGCAUUUGUAUUUCGGUGCUAGAGGUGAAAUUCUUAGAUUACCGAAAGACAAACUGCUGCGAAAGCGUCUGCCAAGGAUGUUUUCAUUGA
RNAcentral lists this ribosomal RNA (382 nucleotides) under uncultured eukaryote. RNAcentral's name for it is "partial 18S ribosomal RNA". It matches the Rfam family "Eukaryotic small subunit ribosomal RNA", at positions 592 to 976 of the family's 1831-position model. The record is from RNAcentral.